This 460-nucleotide ribosomal RNA is filed under the name uncultured bacterium. Its description in RNAcentral is "partial 16S ribosomal RNA". It matches the Rfam family "Bacterial small subunit ribosomal RNA", at positions 338 to 795 of the family's 1533-position model. The record is from RNAcentral.
CCUACGGGUGGCUGCAGUGAGGAAUAUUGGUCAAUGGACGAGAGUCUGAACCAGCCAAGUCGCGUGAAGGAUGACUGUCCUAUGGGUCGUAAACUUCUUUUAUCUGGGAAUAAAGUGUUCCACGUGUGGGCUUUUGUAUGUACCUUAUGAAUAAGGAUCGGCUAACUCCGUGCCAGCAGCCGCGGUAAUACGGAGGAUCCGAGCGUUAUCCGGAUUUAUUGGGUUUAAAGGGUGCGUAGGUGGUUUGUUAAGUCAGUUGUGAAAGUUUGCGGCUCAACCGUAAAAUUGCAGUUGAAACUGGCAGUCUUGAGUACGGGAGAGGUAGGCGGAAUUCGUGGUGUAGCGGUGAAAUGCUUAGAUAUCGCGAAGAACUCCGAUUGCGAAGGCAGUUCGCCGGACUGCAACUGACACUGAGGCACGAAAGUGUGGGUAUCAAACAGGAUUAGAUACCCUUGUAGUC